RNAcentral lists this long non-coding RNA (1983 nucleotides) under Anas platyrhynchos platyrhynchos (common mallard). Its description in RNAcentral is "lncRNA (ENSAPLG00000020024.1)". Lineage: Eukaryota; Metazoa; Chordata; Aves; Anseriformes; Anatidae. The record is from RNAcentral.
AUGCCCCCAGUGGAAGAAGACAAGAGUGAGUCAAUUGUGUUAAAGAAGAUUUCAGUUGAGAAACACAUACAUGUCAAAGAGAGAGUAAGUCCUAAGGAGACAGUUCUGGAUGUUCAAAUGGUAGAGCCACUUGAGUUGAAAAUCUCACUGGAAACAGCUGAUGGAAUACUGAAGCUAGAGAGAGAUGAUCAAGCGGCCCUUAAAUAUUUUGUGCUGGCUCCUGAAGGAGGGGAGCCAGAAAUGACACAAACAGGUUCAAGAAAAACUCCUACCCCUACAGGUGAGAAAAGAGAAGUUACAAUAGAUCACAUUAUUUAUGAAAAAGAUGAACCACUACUACCUGAUGGGGAAUUAAAGUUGAUCUAUAUGUCAUCUGAAUAUGAGGAAAGUGAUUCCAGAGAAGAAAAGGGGGGUGGAACUAAAUUGGCUGUUCAUAAGAAACGUGCUAUAGAGAGAGUCUCUGACAAGUCUAGGGUUCUUCAGGAAAGAAAGAUUCCUGUGCAUGAAAAAGGAGAGGAAACUGAGUCAGCUUCUGUACCUAAACGUAUACUCAGAGAGCCUUAUGAGCCCGGAGACCAGAAAAUACUAAGAAAAGGGAGAAAAUCAAAAAUAAGUUUGCAGCCCGAGGAAUCUCCCAUUAUGGAUGAAACUUUGUUUGUAAAGAGUAUCACAGAAACAAAAAUAACUGAAAUUCCUCUGAUUAGAAGUGAGGAUAGAGAAGGAUUUACUCUAGAGAAAUCUGAAGUUCCUCUUCAAGAAUCCAUGAAAGACAGUGACAUACAGAAGAAAACUCAACAGAUGAAAUAUGGUACUACAGUAGCUGAAAUUCCUAUUGAUGAGAUUCUUAGUAAAGAAGCAAAUAAAAUGAAAACUAUUCAAGAUGAUGAGAAAAUGGACCUUACAUCAGCAGAACCAUAUUCCUUAGAACUAUAUUCCUUAGAACUGUUGAAUAAGACUACUGAGCCAGCAUUGAAAAAAGGUGUUGAUCUAGAAUACCCCACUGAAGAAGAGGAGAUUCCCAGAGAAAAAUUUUACAGAAUCUUUGAACAGUCUAUUCCUAAGCCACAAGUAGUGGAAAUGAAACCAGGAGCUAAAUAUUCUGCACAGGAAGGAGAACCCACUGAAGUUCAUUAUGCAGAGGGUUCAGAAAUAUUGACUGAGAAAGCACUACUAAGUGAUAGAAAAAUCAGCAAGAAGAUAACAUCAGGGAAUGAAGACAAAACUACUUCCAGCACCCACUUAAAAGACAAAUUUAGACAGUCAAAUGCCCCUGAAAAGUUGCCUGUGGAGAAAGAAUUUGAUACAGUGAUUACAGGAGGAGGAAUAGAAGGUGAAGUUUCCAUAGGAGAACAUGAAAAAGGAGUCACAGAUGAAAUAGCUGACAGAACUGACUCCAUAAAGAAAGCUCUUAUUCAGCCACCAAAAAGCCAAGAUAAAAACCAAUUCCAUAAACUUCAUACCUCUCCAGAUGAAAGUGAAGAAGCUCCAGCCCUUAAAGGCAGCAAAGCUAAAACUGAAGAAGAGAAAGACUCUUUGACUGUGGAAGAAGUGAAGAUUUCUAGAAGACAGCUUCAAGGUACAGAACCUACUUCAGAUGAAAAAACAGCAGCUAAAAAUGGCAUUAGAAAAAGCACAUCUCUUAGCAAGAAAAAACAGAAGGAAAACCUUCCAGACAAAAUACCAUCAAGCAAAGGAAUAUCUGCAAGUGAAACAAUCACUCACUCCUCAAGCAUAGGUAAGAUAAUCACUCCGAAGAAUGUAGGAAAGAAGGAGUACUGGAAAUCAGAACCCACUCACAUGAAUGAGCAGGCCGGUAGCCUUUUAAGUGAGGGCAGGAAUUUGGAUGCACCUGGAGAAUCACAUCAAUUUCUGGACGUUCCUGCAAAGUCUCAUGCAAAGCGAGGUGAGGAAGACUGCUGCCAAAUUCUUCCACAAAGUGCUCUUACUAUUUGCUUCAAGAGAAAAUACCGUUUUCCAUUGUGA